RNAcentral lists this ribosomal RNA (714 nucleotides) under Combretum imberbe. RNAcentral's name for it is "eukaryotic LSU rRNA". The stretch from base 1 to 102 matches the Rfam family "Eukaryotic small subunit ribosomal RNA". The record is from RNAcentral. Lineage: Eukaryota; Viridiplantae; Streptophyta; Magnoliopsida; Myrtales; Combretaceae.
UCGCCGCCGACGACGUCGCGAGAAGUCCACUGAACCUUAUCAUUUAGAGGAAGGAGAAGUCGUAACAAGGUUUCCGUAGGUGAACCUGCGGAAGGAUCAUUGUCGAUGCCUGCAAAGCAGAACGACCCGCGAACCGUUUCUCAACACCCGGGGCACAGGAGGGCGUUUAGCUGCUCGGUGUCCCGACGCUUCGGACGUUGAGGGUGCGAGCCACCCCCGGCAGAUGGAGCAUCAAACACACCCCGGCGUGCAAAGCGCCAAGGUACUCCAACGGUAGGGCAAGCACCCGUAGGCCUGGACUCCAGCGCGUUCGGGUGUCUGUUCGGUGUCAUAAAUCUAAACGACUNNNGUGUGAAUUGCAGAAUCCCGUGAACCAUCGAGUCUUUGAACGCAAGUUGCGCCCGAAGCCUUGGCUGAGGGCACGCCUGCCUGGGUGUCACGCAGCRCGUUGCCUCCAAAACCUUUCCCCUCGUAACAUUGUGGUGGAUGGUUUGGACGCGGAAGGUGGCCUCCCGUGACCACGAGCCACGGAUGGCCCAAAUAUGUGCUGGGGAAGCGAAGCGCCACGGCGUUCGGUGGUCGGCAUAGCCCCCUGAGGCAAUGAAGCCCGUGGUAGCCGCGAGAGUCCCCGGUCUACGACCCUAAUCAUUAACCAAUGCGACCUCAGGUCAGGCGGGGCUACCCGCUGAGUUUAAGCAUAUCAAUAAGCGGAGG